GUAAAUAAACCCCCGUGUGCUCAUCACCCCGCUUCAACAAUGAUCAGUAUUUUGCGUGCCUUGUUUUUGUGAAAACUUUUAAACCUACGUAAUGUCUGAAAAUAGGAGAACAGGUGAAUACAUGCGGGUACAUUUAUUUACAGUGCUAUGAACUUUUAAAAUCACAGAAUUGUAUAUAUGGUAUUAUCGCACAUUUGAAAAUUCAAAAACUAACCUCCCGUCUGUGUAGAAAAAGAGAUAGAAAGGAAACACAAGAGUAUGUUAACUAGUUUCCCUUUGAUGGUGGGACAGUGGAUGAUUUCUUCCCCUUCUGUUUUUAGCUAGAACUAUCCCAUAAAAAUUGUAUAUUGUUGUUAAAACCAAGAACCAACAAGCAAAAUCUAAAAGCACUGCACCUGAGCUAAGCACAAAGAAUAUGCCAGAACGGGUUCACUGUUACAGAGAAUAAAGAUGAUCUAUUUUUGCAGCCUAUGCUCGUGUAUGCCAAGAAGUCUUUUCACACAGAUGUCCUUAGAGAUAAUAUGGAUCAGUCCGGAGUUCUCCUCUGGGUGAAAGCAGAACCCUUUAUAGUGGGUGCCUUGCAAGUCCCCCCUCCAUCCAAGUUCAGUCUUCACUAUCUCAGGAAGAUAUCCACCUAUGUGCGAACCCGGGCCACAGAGGGGGCUUACCCACGCCUGUACUGGUCUACGUGGAGGCACAUUGCAUGUGGGAAGCUGCAGUUGGCCAAGGAUCUGGCGUGGCUUUACUUUGAAAUAUUUGAUAGUCUUGCAGUGAAGACACCAGAAGAGCGCCUGGAAUGGUCCGAGCUUCUGUCCAACUGCAUGUCUGAGGAUGAAGUCGAAAAGCAAAGAAAUCAGCUUUCAGUGGACACCCUACAGUUUCUGCUCUUCUUAUAUAUACAGCAGUUAAACAAGGUUUCCCUGAGGACAUCUUUGAUUGGAGAAGAGUGGCCUAGUCCCAGAAAUAGAUCUCAGUCUCCUGACUUGGCUGAAAAAUCCAGUUGCCAUAAUAAGAACUGGAAUGAUUACAGUCACCAAGCAUUUGUCUAUGAUCAUCUGUCAGACCUCCUUGAGCUGCUUUUAGAUCCAGAACAACUCACUGCAUCAUUUCAUUCGACCCAUAGUAGUCUCGUCUCUCGACAAGCUGUUGUGGCCCUCAGCUUUCUGAUUGAAGGUACAGUGAGUGGAGCCAGGAAGAUAUAUCCACUUCAUGAACUUGCACUGUGGCAACCACUACAUGCAGAAAGUGGCUUCUCAAGGCUCUCUAAGACCUUUUCUUUCUACAAGCUGGAAGCCUGGCUGAGAACCUGUUUGACUGGGAAUCCAUUUGGUACAUCUGCCUGCCUCAAGUCUGGAAAGAAAUUGGCUUGGGCUCACCAAGUUGAAGGGACGACCAAAAGAGCUAAGAUUGCUUGUAAUACUCAUGUGGCCCCUAGGAUGCACCGCAUGGUGGUGAUGAGCCAGGUUUACAAGCAGACCUUGGCCAAGAGCUCAGAUACUCUGGUGGGGGCACACGUAAAGAUUCAUCGUUGCAACGAAUCUUUUAUAUAUCUGCUGUCUCCCUUACGAUCUGUGACCAUUGAGAAGUGCAGGAAUAGCACAUUUGUCUUGGGCCCCGUACAGACUGCUCUUCACCUCCACAGCUGUGACAACAUUAAAGUCAUUGCUGCCUGCCACCGUUUGUCCAUCUCUUCCACAGCAGGUUGCGUCUUUCACAUUCUGACGCCUACACGCCCACUUAUUCUCUCUGGAAACCAGACAGUAACUUUGGCCCCUUUUCACACCCAUUAUCCAAUGCUGGAGGAUCACAUGGCCAGGACCGGCCUUGCUACAGUGCCUAACUAUUGGGAUAAUCCAAUGAUUGUGUGCAGAGAGAGCAGUGACACAAGUGUCUUCCGACUCUUACCACCUUGUGAAUUCUAUGUAUUUAUUAUCCCCUUUGAAAUGGAAGGGGAUACGACAGAGAUACCUGGGGGGCUUCCGUAUGCAUAUCAGAAAGCACUGCGUCAAAGAGAGCAGAAGAUACAAAUCUGGCAGAAAACUGUGAAGGAGGCUCGUUUGACAAAGGAUCAGAGGAAGCAGUUCCAGGUACUCGUGGAGAACAAGUUUUAUGAGUGGCUGAUUAAUACAGGACAUCGCCAACAGCUGGACAGUCUGGUGCCCCCUGCCGCAGGCUCCAAACAAGCAGCAGGAUAAGACUCCUACGUGGAAACACUGGGCUCUGGAAACAGGAGGAUGAAUGGACGAUGUGUUUCCUUUCUUUUGGGAUGUUUCCUCUUUUCCAAUGUACCUAAUGAUACAUCGAAAGAAAUGUGGAGAAAAACUUUUGCUUCUAUGCCUGAAGGUAAGUAUGAUAGUGUUUUAAAGGUUGCGAAUAGGAGAGAAGGUUAAGAAAUGCUUAUUAUAUUUUCUACUGUAGCAAAAUUACCCAACAGUUUAUUAAGGGUUUAUCUGUAUGUGUUACCAUGUUCAGAAUUGUACAGGUAUAUAAUGUGUUCAUAUCAUCAUGAUUUCUGCCUUCCAGCAACUCCUAUGAAUUUCCACAGGAAUAGGACAUACUGAUAAGAGGAGUACAUGGAGUAGAAAACUUUUAGUGUUCAGUUAAAAGUCCACUCUGUGAAAUUUAGGCUCCAUCAGUGAUGUCCUAAAAGACUAAUCAAGUGAAUUAAAUCCUAUAUAUCCCUUUCAUUCAAGCAGUUAUUUUUAUCCCUUUCCUGAAAUAAAGUGCUUAUUUACGUUAGGAAAAUUGUCUCUAAAAUGUUUGAUUCACAGUUGUUGGACCAGAAAUCGAUCUUUUAGGCAGGGCUUUAGAAAUGAGGGUAUGUACCUUCAUUCUAUUAUUUUAGCUCUUCUGCUCACCAGUGAAUCUAAGGCAAAGCCAUCGGUGCCUGAUUUCCACAGCAACCCCCCUCAACUUGUUACUUUGAAAAGUUUCAAACCCAAUGAAUCUUGAAAGAAUGAGAAAGAAAUGUUGAAUGAAUACUUCUAUAUCCCUUACUUAUAUUCUCUGGUUGUUAGCAUUUUGCUGUAUUUGGUCUCUCUGUCUCUUUGUACUAAACCAUUUGACAAUAAAUAGCAGGCUUAAUUCUUUUGCCCUAAGUACUUAGUCACGUUUCUCCAAAAACAAGGGUAUGCUCCUAUAUAAACAUAAUACCAUCUUGUCUCCCAAACUUGUCAUAAAUACCAAAUAUUCAGACUAUAUUCACAUUUCCCCCAGUCGCUUCCCCAAAUGUGCUUCAUGGCUGGUUUUCCCCUGAUACAGGAUCUAAUCAAGGACCAUGCAUUGCAUUUGGUUGCCAUGUUUCUUUAAACUUUUUUCCUUUAGCCUCUUUUGUAUGAAACAGUCACCCUACUUUUUGUUGGUGUUUGAGACACUGACAUUUUUCUAAGUCCAGACCAGGUGUCUAGUACAAAGUCCUGAGACCUGGAUUUACCUGAUUGUUUCCUCAUGUUUAGAUUCAGACUAACCAUCUUUGGCCAGAAAGUUACAUAGGCAACAGCAAAUAUUUCCCAUCACAUCAUGUCAGGAGGCACCUGUUAACUCAUUCCAUAAUUGGUUAGUGCCUCACUUUUUUCCACUUGGAAAAUAGAAUAAUCAUACUUGUUAUCUAAAAGAUUUGGGGAGAAAAAAUGAGACCGUGUCUUUAGUGCUCUGAGGUUCUUGGAAGUAUGCCAUGCAAAUCCCAUUGAAAAGAAUUUGAAGUCCUUAGAGAAAUCCGUGUGCCUUGAUGUAAGACUAUUACAACUGGACCCCCUUAGAUGAAUAUAUCCCCCGUUUUCAAAGAUUUCCAGAGUAGUACUAGUGUGCUCUCUUUUAUUUCUUGUAGCUGGGCUGUUCGCGUGGUUAACUAACUUGCUUGCUAGGCCAAAAGAGCAAGUUAUCUCUUACCCUUUGUCUAUUGCAUUUUCCUUUCCCUCCAUCUUACUAGAAGUUUAAUCAGAGAGUUAUGGGAUUGGCAAAAACAAUGCAUGGUACUAAGUUUGGUUUUCUUACCUUUGGAAUACGUGGCAUUUUUCUUUCUAUUGUAUUGGAUUAGUAGACUACUUUUCAAGAACUAAGUGGGAAGGAGAGGAAUUUUGUAAUGAUUUCUAGGGAAAUCUCCUGCACUAUUUCUUAGCCUUUCUAUAAAAUUUUUUGCCCAAGAAUCUCAGCUGACUAUACAGUAGAUGUCAUGGUCCUUCUACAAAUGGAAAUUGAGUAGAGGUACAACAUUCUCUGGGCUCUGAGAUUUGGAAGGUCCCCCGCUGAAAGGAGAGUUUGGUUCUGGAGCUCAGUAAAGGCUCCAUGGCAACACUGUACUUUGUUUCAGCCUUGGGCUGGUUGGCUAGUCUGCUAGAGGGUAGACAGCAAGGUUGCCUUCUAGAACAUCGUAUAUUUUCCACCUUUCGAUAUAGAUGUUAGCCAGGCAAAUGUGCAGUGGGCACUAAGUGUGGGAAACAUUGAACUAAGAAAAAGUGAUAUUAACUUUAUUUCUACAGCAUAGCCCUUGCAAAGGCUCUUUUAUGGUAAACAGUUGACCAAAAAGCCAAAGGUAAAUUGAAUCAAGGCUGAAUUAAGGAAUAUAGAAUCUAUUUUAUUUUUUAGAGAAGUUACCUUGAUUUUCCUAAAGAUUUUUCCACAGGCUUUGGGAAAAGCAUCUCAGCCUCAGGAUCAGUCUUGUUCCCUUACUAAAAGAGUAAGUGCUGUGCGUUGCACAGAACUAGCUGUGCAGGCAGGAGACCGCAAAGGGAGAUAAGAUAAAAUGAAUCACACGUUACUAACCGGGAGCUUUGCACUGCCAACCACUCCCUUGCCUGCACCUAACUUGUACCUAGCUAUUGGCCUUAGGCAAGGCAUUUAACUUCUUCAUCUGUACCAACAGUAGCAAAAGUUUAUUGGCGAUUAUGAGCCAGAUUACACUAAGUGCUUUAUAGGCAUUUUCCCAUGGAACCUCAGGACAACCCUCCGCAGAGGAUACUGGAUCACAGUUUUACGACUCUGGAUACUGUGAUCCAGUUUUACAAAUGAAGAGUCUGAGCUUUAGAGCGACGUUCAAUGGCCUACCCAAGGUCACUGAGCUAGUAGUGCUGCAGUUUUGUUUUCAUCUAUAAACUGGGGUACCGUGUGUCUCCAGCUCUGUGCUAUGCUAAAAUGGGAAAUGGAGCUGGAAGAGAAAUUUGGAAGGGGAAGAAAGGAGAUGAAGCAGAUGAUUUAGGGGUGGGAAGGGCUCAGGAAGCUUGUAGGGAACAGGAAAUACAGGAGUGGAGAGAAAUACAAGAGUGGAAGAGUGGAGAGAGUAGCGUGGAUUAGGGUGGAAGGAAGCACCCAUCAGUAGGCUACAUCUAGAAGGCUCACCUGGGGUAGAAAACAAUGAGGUUUUAUGCCCUUUUACGAAUCAUUCUUGGUGUCUGCCUCUCCCUCAUUCAUUACAUCUGAUUAGUCACCAAAUUCUACAUUUCUUUUGACUGUUUCCUCAAUGUCCUUUAUACAGCAGUUGCCUUUUGGCCAGCCUGCCCCAUCUCUCACACACCCGCGGCAACCACCUGUUUCCACACACGAACCACUACCUUACAUCUCGCACAUAAUCACCAAAGAGAUUCCAGCAUGCCGCCGGUGUCUUCUGGCUUUAUUUCCUAUUAAUACUUCACCACAUGGUCCAUAUGCACCGAGCUUGAUGAACCACUUGUCCCUAUAAUGGGCCAUAUUCCUUUAUUCCUUUGAACAGGCCAUCCUUUCUUCUUUGCCCCUGGAAACCCUCUACUUAUCUUUCAAUCUUCACCUCAAAAAUCCUCUCAAGGCUACCUGGCUCUCCACUCCUUUUAUAUGAAAUGGUUGACAUUUUCUCCUUUGAAGCCGAUAAAGCAAAUUAGCCACGAGGUGGCAGCGUAACUCUAGGAAAUUAAGUGCUUGACUCCAUGACACCUGUGAUUUCUUUCACUUUACCUUCUGAACUCGCAUUCAUCUUGGAGUGUGGAAUUAUAGAACAAGAGGGGACAAACUCUGUAGUCCAUUUGGUCUAGUGGUUUUCAGAACCUGCUUCCUGAAGCCCCAGGAGUGGCUGGGGACUCUUCUCUCCUGUUGCAAACAGAAAAGUUUUACUGCACAGCCAGGGCUUUCCAUCUAGUCUGGUCCUCAGCUCUGACAAGUGUGAAGCUGGAGCCCAGAGAGCUAGCUUGCCUGAAGUCAUAAGGCCGACUGGAGAGAUGCAGCUCUAGAGGCCAGGUUUAUCAUU
Molecule: RNA transcript, 6211 nt
Organism: Prionailurus viverrinus (fishing cat)
Lineage: Eukaryota; Metazoa; Chordata; Mammalia; Carnivora; Felidae
Gene: TBCCD1
Gene name: TBCC domain containing 1
Exons: 9
Source: RefSeq, a predicted model, not a curated record